GGGUGCAGUAGUGUGUACCUGUGGCUCCAGCUACCUGGGAGGACUGAGGUAAGAGGAUUGCUUGAGCAUAGGAGGUCAGGACCAGCCUGGGCAACAUAGCAAGACUCCCAUCCU
RNAcentral lists this small RNA (114 nucleotides) under Marmota monax (woodchuck). The record is from RNAcentral. Lineage: Eukaryota; Metazoa; Chordata; Mammalia; Rodentia; Sciuridae.